Molecule: microRNA, 23 nt
Filed under: Saccoglossus kowalevskii
Lineage: Eukaryota; Metazoa; Hemichordata; Enteropneusta; Harrimaniidae
Description: Sko-Mir-4818-P2_5p* (star (passenger))
Source: RNAcentral
CCUCUCUAUUGAGUACAACUGUG